GCCUCUGUAGCUCAGUUGGUUGGAGCGUUGCACCAGAAUCGCAAGGCCGCAGGUUCAAUUCCUGCCAGGGACC
RNAcentral lists this transfer RNA (73 nucleotides) under Paramuricea clavata. It matches the Rfam family "tRNA". Rfam says of the family: Transfer RNA (tRNA) molecules are approximately 80 nucleotides in length. Their secondary structure includes four short double-helical elements and three loops (D, anti-codon, and T loops). Lineage: Eukaryota; Metazoa; Cnidaria; Anthozoa; Malacalcyonacea; Plexauridae. The record is from Rfam by way of RNAcentral.